This is a long non-coding RNA of Triticum dicoccoides, 1367 nucleotides long. RefSeq lists it as uncharacterized. The transcript has 4 exons. The record is from RefSeq and is a predicted model, not a curated record. Lineage: Eukaryota; Viridiplantae; Streptophyta; Magnoliopsida; Poales; Poaceae.
CCACCACUCCCUCUCUCUUCGUCAACCUCUCGGUCUAUCCUCCCGCCGUCUGGUGCCACCCACGACUGGGGCGGCGGCUAGCAGCAGGGCCUUGGGGGAAGGUGACACCGGCGGGGAUGCGGUAGCUGGGAGGCGAGAGACAGCUGUUGGUGGUACCUGCAACUGGGGAACCUGCUCGGUCUGGGCUUGGCGACGGCAAGGACGCGCAUCACCACCAUCCCAGAUGAUCCAUGUCGCAUCUCCUCUUCCACCUACCAUCCUUCUCCACCUAAGUGUUGGUGUGAGUUCUUGGCCGUGUGGCGACCAACAGCAAUCAACAGCAAGUAGGCGGAUCAAGAUCCGUCCAGCCACAAGCAAUUGCCGACCGGUGAAAAAGUUGAUUUGUUUGUGUGCAGAACCGUGUUAUGCUAUGCAUGUCACCCACAAAUGAAUCACUAUAUUUACAAUUUCUUUUUCUGGUUAUUUACCGGAUGAAUUUUAUUUUGAUUUAGCACUCCAAUCCGUCAAGUUUGUUAUCGGUUUGUUUGUUGCAUGGCCAAACAUUAGUUUAAUUUAUAAAAUGGAUUGCGGGUUCAUCCGAUAGAUUUUGGCAUAUAUUUCAAUGACCUACCAUGUAUUCGAACUAUAAAUGUAAAAAGAUAUAUGUUAUAGGUAAUCUCAUCAUUCCCGUGUCAAGAGGUGAGUUCAAUCAAAUCCAUUCCAUUUAGUCUCUCUAACCAAGCAUCUAAAUGGAACUGUUCUGUAUUCCACAUAAUUGUCUAUUCCAAACACAGGAACGCAACCGACCGGUUCAAGUGGAAUGGAACAUCUUUUCAACAACAUUGGCCUGCUUAAUCUUUACGGGCACCGUAGUAGAUUAUAAUUGUAUCUAUUCCCCCCUCUCUAUAUACUCCCAAGGAUUCUUGACGAUGUGCGGUAAGACGUCUGCUAUCAAUCAAAUUUGGAAUUCUUGAGAAGGAACCCCUCCCACUGGAGUUGUGGCAUCCACGCACAUGAGGUGCAACUGUGCCAUGGUGGCAUGGCUUUGGAGCAGGAGCUAUGCUUGCUGCCACCGCGAGAUAUUCACGCACAUCCACAUAUGCGCCAUCCGUACACAUGAGGUGCAUCUGUCCCAUGGUGUCCUCGCUUUAGAGCUGGAGCUGUGCUUGCUACUUCCGCGAGAUAUUCAUGCACAUCCACAUAUGUGCCUGACCUUGCCGCCUCUGCCUGAUGUGAUGCGAUUUUGGCACAUGCAAUGCUGAAGAGGCACGUGACAAUUUCCAUUUGCCUAUGCUUUCUUUUACUAUUCUUUUCUUUUCAUACAUGUUCAUUACGCUUGGUUACGACAAUGAGAUAUCAUCUAAGGAAUGAUUAAUCAUCAAGAGGUG